AAUAUUCACUCUUCUCUCUUCAUUCAUGAUGAAAAAAAACUCUGCCAUCUUCACAAUAGACUAAUUCACUUCAUUGAUUCCAUCUCUAUUAUGCAAUAUGAAACUUAUUUAUUAAUUAUUUAAAUACCUAUUAUCAUAACAUCAAUGAUAAUCAUUAAAGGAUUAUUGAUUGCUGAUUGCUAUUAUUUCAAUGAUUAUUCAAAUCUUAAUUACUGAGAAGAGGAUGUUGGUCCUCUUCUCAAUAACUCGACCUCCAUUCGGACUACAUGACAGUCGAGAUUUUGGGAUUCUAUUGGAUAAUAGAACAUUAUGUAACUGAUGUCUGUUGAGUAACUAAGUUAUAUGGGACUCUUUUGAUCAAUUUCAAUAAAAAGUGUUAUGUAAAUUAUUAUCAUUUAAUAUAGAAAAUAUUUUCAUCGCUUUCAAAGUUGAAAAUAUAACCUACCGAGAAUCUACAAGAUUGCUCACACAACUUAGUCCAUUCGAAAAAAACUUACGACAUGUGUGCACUUAACCAUCGACUUUUAAAUUAAUCACUGGUUUUAUUAAGUAACCUCUUACUUACAAAUUUGAAUUUGAAGUAUUAGGAGUUAAUUUUUCAUAUGCCACUUCUUCCUUGACUCAUUCAAUUAUUCCCAUAAUAUUUUCAAUCUGCUUAAUCAAUAAGCUUAGGAGGUGGGAAAAAUAUUUUGCUCCAUCAAAAAAUAGCUAUAAAUACUUUGUUUUAUUCCUAAGGACUCGAAUUGAAAAGGCGAGAGCGGCAUUCGAAAGCAUGUCGCAUGAUUUGGCUCUUGAACUAAAAAUUAGACUCCUCCGUUUUUAUAUAGUCUCAAUGUCAUUGUAUGGAGUAGAGUCUUGGACCCAGACUGAAACAAUAACAAAGAAACUUUGAAGUAUUCGUGAUUAGGACCUAUAGAAGAUUCCUGAAAAUAUCAUGGAUGGAAAAAAUUUCCAACAACAGGGUUCUUCAACAACUCAAUCAUGUUCACUGUCAAAAGAUGAAAGAUGGAGUAUCUGGGUUACAUUAUGAGGAAUGGAAUUGAAUAUCAGUUGUUAAAAUGUGUACUACGGAGUAGCCUAAAGUUCGUAGCAGGAGAGGCUUUGGUAGGGGACAAAUUUCCUGGUUGAAGAAUUUGAGAACAUGUUUUGCAGUGUCGACCCCGGAACUUUUUAGAACAGCUGUCAACAAGUUAUAAUUGCCAGAAUGAUUGCCAACAUUCGGUAAUGGAUAGGCACAAGAAGAAGAAUUCCGUAUUUUUAAUAUUCAGUAUUUAUUUAUCAUGUCAAUAUCACUUGGGUAUUUUUUGUUGUAGGAGUCAAGUGUAGUCCCUCAUCAUGCACCUCACUUCUUUUUACAUAGAGUUUACAGAAGUAGGUCACAAUUUGUUUUUAAAAAAGUUUUUUCAUUGUUGGCCUGUGUAAUCAAUAAGUAAGAAUAAUAAUCAAAUCAGAGUUUCAAUAAAAGUUUAAUAAGAGUACCUCAGUAAAGUAGUCCAAUCUUAUUAAAUACAUUAAUAAACUUUUAUAGAAAAUUUUUAUAGAAAAGUUUAUGUUCAGCUUCUGACAGCUGUUUAUACGCACUGUCUGCUUUCAUAUGAUGCAAACUAGAUUCUUCUUGUAUCGUUUUACGUUCAUUAUCUGUAGAUGCCAAAACAAGUUUUGCGAAUAGUUGAUCACACAAUUUGCAAGUAUCUGACCUAGGAGACCCAAAUCUUAAAUUGAAUUCCCGAUUAACAAAACUGUACAAACUGUAUGUAGCUGGUUGAUUAUAUUUUUCUUCGAAAAGCCUUUGCAUCUUCUUCACUGACAAGUCCAUACUUAGAUUAUUCUAGGUUGACACAUUUCGACUGUAAUGAUUUUCUGUAAGAGGGAAGCUCCUUAUGUGCUCCCUAAUUAGGUCUCUAAUAUUGUUAUCUACAGCAUGGGGUCGAUUUAAAUGUCUACCUCGUUGAUCACGUGGAGUUGUUUCUCCAGCCUUCAGUUUAGCCUGAAGAACUCGAAUACGUUUUACUCUGAUAGAGAA
This 2023-nucleotide long non-coding RNA is filed under the name Nilaparvata lugens (brown planthopper). RNAcentral describes it as "uncharacterized LOC120353302". The record is from RNAcentral. Lineage: Eukaryota; Metazoa; Arthropoda; Insecta; Hemiptera; Delphacidae.